Molecule: antisense RNA, 75 nt
Filed under: Streptomyces cellostaticus
Lineage: Bacteria; Bacillati; Actinomycetota; Actinomycetes; Kitasatosporales; Streptomycetaceae
Description: ASpks TB sRNA
Rfam family: ASpks TB sRNA
Source: Rfam by way of RNAcentral
CUUCAGGGACCCCAGCCAGAGCGGGUUGCCCGGGUCCCGGUCCUGCCCGUAGGUGGCCAGCAGCGCCUGUGCCUC